GGAGGGUUCGCAUAAUGGUAUUGCAGCGGUCUUGAAAACCGCCGGGCGUCAGCCUGUGGGGGUUCGAGUCCCUCACCCUCCG
Molecule: transfer RNA, 82 nt
Filed under: Ignavibacteria bacterium GWA2_35_8
Lineage: Bacteria; Pseudomonadati; Ignavibacteriota; Ignavibacteria
Also listed under: 3 other names
Description: tRNA-Ser
Rfam family: tRNA
About the family: Transfer RNA (tRNA) molecules are approximately 80 nucleotides in length.
Source: RNAcentral